Molecule: microRNA precursor, 105 nt
Filed under: Canis lupus familiaris (dog)
Lineage: Eukaryota; Metazoa; Chordata; Mammalia; Carnivora; Canidae
Also listed under: 1 other name
Description: mir-8834 microRNA precursor family
Rfam family: mir-8834 microRNA precursor family
Source: Rfam by way of RNAcentral
AGGAGGAACAGCCCCAGUGGUGGGGCCAGCUCUGGAAACCUGGAUUCAGCUCAGGCAGGAACUCUGGAGCUCUCCGUCUGCAGGGCCUGGAGGCUCCGGGGCGGG